GAAGUGUGAACCAAGCAGCGGCGUAAGCCGCGUGAGACUUGGAGCGGGCGGUCGUAAGACCACCCUGCA
Molecule: non-coding RNA, 69 nt
Submitted as: unclassified sequences
Source: Rfam